This 418-nucleotide ribosomal RNA is filed under the name uncultured bacterium. RNAcentral's name for it is "bacterial SSU rRNA". It matches the Rfam family "Bacterial small subunit ribosomal RNA", at positions 362 to 777 of the family's 1533-position model. The record is from RNAcentral.
UAUUGGUCAAUGGACGCAAGUCUGAACCGGCCAUGCCGCGUGCAGGAAGACGGCUCUAUGAGUUGUAAACUGCUUUUGUACUAGGGUANNCGCUCCUACGUGUAGGAGUCUGAAAGUAUAGUACGAAUAAGGAUCGGCUAACUCCGUGCCAGCAGCCGCGGUAAUACGGAGGAUCCAAGCGUUAUCCGGAUUUAUUGGGUUUAAAGGGUGCGUAGGCGGUUUGAUAAGUUAGAGGUAAAAUACCGGGGCUCAACUCCGGAACUGCCUCUAAUACUGUUGAACUAGAGAGUAGUUGCGGUAGGCGGAAUGUAUGGUGUAGCGGUGAAAUGCUUAGAGAUCAUACAGAACACCGAUUGCGAAGGCAGCUUACCAAACUAUAUCUGACGUUAAGGCACGAAAGCGUGGGGAGCAAACAGGA